Molecule: long non-coding RNA, 2383 nt
Filed under: Saimiri boliviensis boliviensis (Bolivian squirrel monkey)
Lineage: Eukaryota; Metazoa; Chordata; Mammalia; Primates; Cebidae
Description: lncRNA (ENSSBOG00000036536.1)
Source: RNAcentral
GUGGGACAGAGCCGGGCACAGGCGGCGGAUGGAGCGGAACGGCGAGGGGUCUUGAGAAGCAAUGGCCACAGAAGCCCCUGUGAACGUAGCGCCACCUGAGUGCAGCUCUGUUGUCAGCACGGCAGCUGACAACCUCCUUUGGCAGCCAGACUCACUCAAGAGGCACAUGAUAAGGCCCAAGUCUGCCAAGGGACGGACAAGACCGAGUCUGCAGAAACCCCAGGGCACGGAGGUGUGCUCUCAUCACGUGCCACCUUCUCCGCCUCCAGCCAUUCCCUACGAGUCUCCAAGCAGCCAAAAACCAGGCGCCUGUCCACCCAAAUCGCCAAGCCAGGGAGUCUCUGAUGAGAUCCCUGAGCUGCUGCAGCAAGUGCCCAUUGGGGGUUCCUCUUCUCUCAAUAAGUAUCCAGUCCUUCCUUCCAUCAACAGAAAGAUCCUGGAGGAGGAGGCUGUGGAAACAGUCGCGGAAAAGGCCAGCUCGCUGCAACUGAGCAGCACCCGGGCUCUCGACCAAGAGGAGACCCGCGCAAGAGAAGAAGAUUCCAGAGCUCGUGCUUGUACCGUAGAGAGGAAAUUCAAGAGACAGGGCUCGCGCAGGGCCGGAAACCUGGAGGAACCAUCGGACCAAGAACCCAGGUUGCUGCUUGCCGUCAGAUCACCAACGGGCCAAAGUUUAGGAAGCAGCAGCCCUCCUAACAGUCGACGCGGAAGCACAGAUCUCUGGAGGUAUUUUUGGACACACUUAAAUCCUAUCCCAAGAGGCUGAACCACUGUGGAGACAAAUGCCCAGGGGUAAAACUGCGCAAGCCUCAUUCAGACUGACCUGCUCAGAGGCGCCCUCUGGCUGCCGUGUUGAGGGGCUGGGGUGGAAGAUGGAAGACCAGGUGCUGGAGGUAUGACCAAGACCCAGCAAGACGGGAUGGUGGCUCGGGCCAGGGUGGUAGCCAGAGAUGUCAUGAGAGGUGACCAGAUUCUGGACAUAUAGUCCAUUUUUUUAAGGAAAAAACAAAGGCUAGUUUGACAAGUUGGGAUUUACCCAAGUGGACUUAGCUUGACCAAUAUCACCAACGUGGAUUGCUUCUGCAAAAACAAAGAUGCAAACAAACACCAUGGCAGCAAAGCACAUGCCAGGCGGGGAAAAGAUACUGACCAGCAGGAACAUUCACAUCCAGGAAAUGCAUGAGUGUUUUUGGACAAAGUGUACAGAGAAAACCAAAGCUAUUGUUUUAAUUAAGAGAGAAAACUAACGUCACUGUUUCACUUAAUGUUUAGGUGAAAGUUAAAAGUAAUUAUCUAACUCUAGGGGUGUGUGAUGUGAUUGCUGACCAAGGUUACUUAAUAAGAAAUCUUCGUUCCAGUUAAAUCCAUUGUUUAUCUCUGUCUCCCAUCCUUCAUCCCUCCUGUUCUUGCUACCUUUCCUUCCAUUUAUUCCAAUCCAGCAGCUGACUGGGGAUGCAUUUCUUCUUGGGAGGGCAAAUGAAGCCAUCAUUCUGGGGCCUAAUUAAUAAAGCUCCUAGUUUCAUAAUGUUCGUGCCCACCUCGUGUUUAUAUAGGGGAAUCUGUGCAGUGGGGCCUUUUUGUGACCAGCUGAGAGCUGUGUCUCUCUGACAUUUGUCCUCUUUGACAGGAGAUGUUAUGCGUAGGUGUCAUGGGUCCACUCUGGCUGGUGAGCGCCUCCAGCAGAUAGCCUGGGUCUGCUCUAGCUCUAGCCACUGUUAACAAGAACGGCCAGCCACCUGCAGACAAACCCUGGGAGAAUGGCGGGAGCUCCCACCCUGCCAGCUGGGACGUAUUGUCUGGAAACUGCUGCUUCCCAUCCCUCCCCCUGUAUACAACCGUGGGAUCCUGCAGAUGUCAGCCCAGACCAGAUGUAAGUAUACCAGGUCCUGAAGACUCUGGAUCUGGGCUCUUGGCCACUCUGUAGAGGAUUUCCCCAGCCCCGGCCUGGACCUCAGCUCACUCUUUUCCUUCCUUUUUUUUUUUUUCCCCUUUUGUCACCCAGGCUGGAGUGCAGUGGCACGAUCUCGGCUCACUGCAAACUUGUCCUCCUGGGUUCAAGCGAUUCUCCCACCUCAGCUUCCCAAGUAGCUGGGACUACAGCUGCGCACCACCAUGCCUAGCUAACUUUUUGUAUUUUCAUAGAGAUGGGGUCUCACCAUGUUGUCCGGGGGACAACCCUGCUCCUGAGCUCAGGCAAUCGGCCCACCUCAGCCUCCCGAAGUGCUAGGAUUACAGGCUCGAGCCACCGCACCCAACACUCUAUUCCUUCUUAAUGGAGUUCCCAGCAGGCUGUCAUCUGAUUGAAAUCAUCUGUAACAAAUUCAUUCAACAAAUACAUAUUAAGCACCUAGAUGGCAGGCACAUAUCAGGCUCAUCAGUGAAC